Cinara cedri is the source of this 347-nucleotide non-coding RNA. The record is from the annotation of a GenBank genome assembly. Lineage: Eukaryota; Metazoa; Arthropoda; Insecta; Hemiptera; Aphididae.
CCACUGGAGUACGACAAAAUUAAUAACUUUGUUUUCUGUCAAUUCCUAGAAUUCGUCCCAUGUACGAUUCAUCCAUUUUUUCCAUGUCCAAAUCAAACACCUGAUCCCUACUGUUCCAAAGAAGUAAAUGUGCUAUACUGUUAUUAGUGUAAAUCAAUUACGAUACCUACUAAAUUAAAAUUUCGUUGUUAUUAUAUGUUUUUUCGAAGAUAUGUUCUAUCGUCGUUAUCAUGAUCCAAUGAGAAAUGAUAUUUACCAAACUCGUGUCACACAUGCGACCGAAAUAUAUUUACAUUAUGUCACCGGUAUAAUAUUUCGUCAGAGUUAGUACCUAUACGAUUUUGCCU